UCGAACGCUGGCGGCGUGCUUAACACAUGCAAGUCGAACGGAAAGGCCCUUCGGGGUACUCGAGUGGCGAACGGGUGAGUAACACGUGGGUGAUCUGCCCUGCACUUUGGGAUAAGCCUGGGAAACUGGGUCUAAUACCGAAUAUGACCACGCUCUUCAUGGGGUGUGGUGGAAAGCUUUUGCGGUGUGGGAUGGGCCCGCGGCCUAUCAGCUUGUUGGUGGGGUAAUGGCCUACCAAGGCGACGACGGGUAGCCGGCCUGAGAGGGUGACCGGCCACACUGGGACUGAGAUACGGCCCAGACUCCUACGGGAGGCAGCAGUGGGGAAUAUUGCACAAUGGGCGCAAGCCUGAUGCAGCGACGCCGCGUGAGGGAUGACGGCCUUCGGGUUGUAAACCUCUUUCACCAGGGACGAAGCGCAAGUGACGGUACCUGGAGAAGAAGCACCGGCCAACUACGUGCCAGCAGCCGCGGUAAUACGUAGGGUGCGAGCGUUGUCCGGAAUUACUGGGCGUAAAGAGCUCGUAGGUGGUUUGUCGCGUUGUUCGUGAAAACUCACAGCUUAACUGUGGGCGUGCGGGCGAUACGGGCAGACUAGAGUACUGCAGGGGAGACUGGAAUUCCUGGUGUAGCGGUGGAAUGCGCAGAUAUCAGGAGGAACACCGGUGGCGAAGGCGGGUCUCUGGGCAGUAACUGACGCUGAGGAGCGAAAGCGUGGGGAGCGAACAGGAUUAGAUACCCUGGUAGUCCACGCCGUAAACGGUGGGUACUAGGUGUGGGUUCCUUCCUUGGGAUCCGUGCCGUAGCUAACGCAUUAAGUACCCCACCUGGGGAGUACAGCCGCAAGAGGGAU
RNAcentral lists this ribosomal RNA (853 nucleotides) under Mycolicibacterium llatzerense. Its description in RNAcentral is "bacterial SSU rRNA". It matches the Rfam family "Bacterial small subunit ribosomal RNA", at positions 29 to 898 of the family's 1533-position model. Lineage: Bacteria; Bacillati; Actinomycetota; Actinomycetes; Mycobacteriales; Mycobacteriaceae. The record is from RNAcentral.